UACCGCGUGGGUGAAGAAGGCCUUCGGGUUGUAAAGCCCUUUUGUUGGGAAAGAAAAGCAGUCGAUUAAUACUCGGUUGUUCUGACGGUACCCAAAGAAUAAGCACCGGCUAACUUCGUGCCAGCAGCCGCGGUAAUACGAAGGGUGCAAGCGUUACUCGGAAUUACUGGGCGUAAAGCGUGCGUAGGUGGUUGUUUAAGUCUGUUGUGAAAGCCCUGGGCUCAACCUGGGAAUUGCAGUGGAUACUGGGCGACUAGAGUGUGGUAGAGGGUAGUGGAAUUCCCGGUGUAGCAGUGAAAUGCGUAAAGAUCGGGAGGAACAUCCAUGGCGAAGGCAGCUACCUGGACCAACACUGACACUGAGGCACGAAAGCGUGGGGAGCAAACAGGAUUAGAUACCCUGGUAGUCCACGCCCUAAACGAUGCGAACUGGAUGUUGGGUGCAAUUUGGCACGCAGUAUCGAAGCUAACGCGUUAAGUUCGCCGCCUGGGGAGUACGGUCGCAAGACUGAAACUCAAAGGAAUUGACGGGGGCCCGCACAAGCGGUGGAGUAUGUGGUUUAAUUCGAUGCAACGCGAAGAACCUUACCUGGUCUUGACAUGUCGAGAACUUUCCAGAGAU
Molecule: ribosomal RNA, 621 nt
Filed under: Stenotrophomonas sp. Ri1Pt_3803
Lineage: Bacteria; Pseudomonadati; Pseudomonadota; Gammaproteobacteria; Lysobacterales; Lysobacteraceae
Description: bacterial SSU rRNA
Rfam family: Bacterial small subunit ribosomal RNA
Source: RNAcentral